Molecule: ribosomal RNA, 270 nt
Filed under: uncultured archaeon
Lineage: Archaea
Description: partial 16S ribosomal RNA
Rfam family: Archaeal small subunit ribosomal RNA
Source: RNAcentral
CAGCACCUCAAGUGGUCAGGAUGAUUAUUGGGCCUAAAGCAUCCGUAGCCGGCGCUGUAAGUUUUCGGUUAAAUCUGUACGCUCAACGUACAGGCUGCCGGGAAUACUGCAGCGCUAGGGAGUGGGAGAGGUAGAUGGUACUCGGUAGGAAGGGGUAAAAUCCUUUGAUCUAUUGAUGACCACCUGUGGCGAAGGCGAUCUACCAGAACACGUCCGACGGCGAGGGAUGAAAGCUGGGGGAGCAAACCGGAUUAGAUACCCGAGUAGUCC